RNAcentral lists this ribosomal RNA (413 nucleotides) under uncultured marine bacterium. RNAcentral describes it as "bacterial SSU rRNA". It matches the Rfam family "Bacterial small subunit ribosomal RNA", at positions 360 to 804 of the family's 1533-position model. The record is from RNAcentral.
AAUAAUGCACAAUGCGAGCAAGCGUGAAGCAGCCAUGCGUCGUUGACGACGAUGACCUGAAGAUAGUAAAUUUUCCUUGUUGGGCAUUAUGAUGGCAGUACCUAAAAAAGAAUCCGCUCUACCUUCAAGCCAGCAGCGAAUUAGUAAAUGCGGGCUAGAUUUGUUAUUAAUGGGUUGAAGUGAUCGCAGUAGGUUGAUAAUUAUCAGUAAGUAAUGCAAAGCAUCAACCUAAUAACGCAUAGAAAGAGGAAGUCUAGAGAUCAAGAGAGCGGGAAUAAUACCGAGUCAGAUAAAAAAUUAAUAUAUAUAUGAACAACAACAGUGGAGAAGGCGCCUAUGUGGCAUGAUAGUGACGCUGAGGUAGAAAGUGUGGGGAGCAAACAGGAUUAGAUACCGUGGUAGUCCACACAAUA